This is a long non-coding RNA of Sitophilus oryzae (rice weevil), 220 nucleotides long. RefSeq lists it as uncharacterized. The transcript has 2 exons. Lineage: Eukaryota; Metazoa; Arthropoda; Insecta; Coleoptera; Curculionidae. The record is from RefSeq and is a predicted model, not a curated record.
GGAACAAUUUAGAAUGAUGCAGCGUAAACUACAGUAAAGUCUGAACAUUAAAGCAUAAAGAAACAAAAUCCACAACUUAUUCUGCCAAAUACAAAUAGUACACAUCUUAUUUUACUAAGCGUGUUGACCGUACUCUUCAUACACACAAAAAUCGGCACCCAAGGCCUGAAAUGCCAACUCUAGUAUACCUAUUCUAUGUAAUAAAUAUUUUUUAAGUAUA